Molecule: long non-coding RNA, 348 nt
Filed under: Nicotiana tabacum (common tobacco)
Lineage: Eukaryota; Viridiplantae; Streptophyta; Magnoliopsida; Solanales; Solanaceae
Description: long non-coding RNA (NTAB_LNC008841)
Source: RNAcentral
UUGAUUAAAGGAAAAAGUUCAGUUUUAGGGUUUAAAACCCUAAUGCUGACUGAAUGGGAAAAGUUCAGUUUAGGGUUUAAAACCCUAAUGCUGACUGAAUGGAAAAGUUCAGUUUAGGGUUUAAAACCGUAAUGCUGAUUAAAGGAAAAAGUUCAGUUUAGGGUUUAAAACCCUAAUGCUGACUAAAGGGAGGAGUUCAGUUUAGGGUUUAAAACCCUAAUGUUGAUUAAAGGAAAAAGUUCAGUUUAGGGUUUAAAACCCUAAUGCUGACUGAAUGGAAAAAGUUCAGUUUAGGGUCUAAAACCCUAAUGCUAAUUAAAGGAAAAGUUCAGUUUAGGGUUUAAAACC